CCGUGGAGUGCCCUGCGAUGCAAACUCAAUUUGGGUUUUAGCAACUCAGUAUCAGAUGUGUGUUACUACAAAUUAAUGGGUCAAAUUGCUUUGCAUCAAUUUGUUGUACGGUGGGCGUUCAACGGGUUAAGCAUAUACCUACACUAUUACUACAGAAGUACACACUUUAUUUCAAAGUUGGAAAAUAUAUCAUAUUUGCAGAGCUAUAAUUUUAUUUUUUCGUAUGAUUAAAAAAAAGAUAGGUUGCAUACUUAAUUUUAGUUUAUGAGACAUAACAAAACUGGUUGUAAAAUUAUAGGAAAAAAAAUGAUUAUAAGUCAGCUGUCACACGACAGUCACUUCUGAUAUUUAUAUUAAUUAAAAAAUAUUUAUAUUACAAUGAUAAGAUUUGAAACAUUUAAACAUAAUUUAGAUGUUGAUGACAAAUCUGGCAUAAAAGAUGUUAAUAUUGAUAAAAGUGUUAAUUUUAGAGGCUGCAUUGAUUUAUUAAAUAAAAACAGUCCAAGUUACUCUCUUGACACUGAAAUUCCACCUCUUGGUGCUGCUGUGGUGGGAUGGAAUAACACUGAUGCUCCCCUUCCAGAAAAGACAAAAUUUUAUAAUGCCUGGACUGAUAUUGAUGCUCAAGAGCUCUUCCUAAACUCAAAGCCUACUUGCUUUCUCAUUCUUGGUAAGCCUGGAGUUGGGGCAUACACACUGGGUGAAUCUAUAUCUAAAAAACUCAAUUGUAUUCACUUGUGCCCAAGAAAUGUAAUAAUAGAUGAAAUGGAACAGAAGACCUCAACUGGAAAAUGUAUGGACUUUAACAUGAGAGAUAAUAAGGUGUGCAAGUAUGACACAGUUUUCCCAAUCAUUAAAGAAAAGAUGAAAUCACCAGCCGUCCAACACAGGGGUUAUGUGAUGUCAGGACUACCGCUAGUGACCACGAGUUGGAAUGAGAAUUACCUUUUUGGUAGUUUGCAUGAUGAAGAUUCAAUAUUAGAAGCAAAUGAUUUUUUAUACAAUGUUAUACUCAAUAUGAAGAAAACGAAAAAGCGGAAGAAAGAUGUAGAGACUACUUCUAUCGGAAGUCAAGAGGAAGCGGAAGAAGACAGAGAGGAAGAAGCUGAAGAAGAACAGGAACCUGAAGAUGAAGAUGUAGGAGAAGAAGAAGAACCUCCAGUUGAAUUACCAAAAUUUUUAUUAGACCCAUGUUCUGGAAUGAUCUCAUUCAAUAAACCAUACAUGACCUCUAAAAAAGUUGCAUUGCUAGAACAGUUCAAACAGAUUAUGGAGUUGCCUCUAAAACCGGAUGUUGUAAUUUAUAUCACAAGUUCAGAUGCAGACGCUGUAUCCAAAAAACAAAACACUUAUUUGAAUUAUGGGAAUUUAUCUACUGUUUACAAAUCUAUCCCUAGUAGAAUUCAAGCAGACCUGAGAUGGCCCAUUAAAUGUGAUAUUAAUGUAGACCAGUCUCACAGACAAGAAAAUAUUGUCAAUUCUAAGUAUUAUUGUAGGCAACCAAUGAAUUUCAAGGAGAAUUCUGUUGAACAGAUGUGUAACUUUAGGAAACAUCUCCUUACAUAUAUUGAAUGUCAACUUAAACAAUAUGAACCUGCAACUAUCAUUAAAGUAGAUGGUUGUCUUCAAGUUUAUCAAAUGAUGCAACAAAUUUCAGAACGGCUUCUUUUCUUGUCUAUCAAACCAGUUUGUAUCCCAGAACCUAUGUAUCUUGAAGAUCCUUCUGAUGAUAUGGAGGAAUUCUGGCAAAAUGUGGAAGAAUUGGCUGUAAUUCGUAGUAAUAAUAUCAGUUUCAAUAGAUACGCAUCUCCAUGGUACAAUAGAUGUCCUGUAGAACUCAAGAAAAGAAUAUCAACAAGAGGACACUCCAAAUUUGCUGUUACUUUCCUGAAACAUGUAUAUCUUUUGUCUACAUUAUCGUCUAUGAUACAGUUUUGCAGAAACCCUCGGCCAUUUCUGAAAUUAACAUAUUUAGAGCCGACGUGUAGAGCUAUUGUUGUUGGCACUAAAAGUGCAGGCAAAACAAUGAUCUGUAAAUGUCUUGAGUGGCUAUUUGAUGCACAAUACAUCAACUUCAAUGAAUUAUAUGAAGAAGAAAAGAAAAAGAAAGAAAUAAUGAUAAAAAGAAAUAUUUUUGGCGAAAUAAUUGCAACAAUAGAAGAUGCGAGAUUUGCAUUGUGGCAAACCACUGAAUCUCAAAGAGAGAAAGAUUUAAAUGCCUGGUAUGGCUUAACUUUGAAGAAUCUGAAAAAAUACCUGCCUUUACUAGAUACGUACUUAACGCAUGCGCAGUGCUCGUGUGAAGAAGAGGAAGGAACGAAGGAAGCGGAAGCAGAAAAUGUAAAAAAAAAAUCCCCUAUAGACCUGGAUUUCCUAAGCACAUUUCAGAAAUAUCGAAACGAAUUGUUGACCCUUCCAUUCGUCAAUGAUGUAGAGGAAAUUAAACGAGCUAUUGCUGAUAAAGACACUUUGUUGAGAAAUGGCCCUGAUCACUUGAUUAUUCCAACAGAAAAUCCAGCAUUACCGGUGCUAGGUGAUGCUGAUGUUACUGAAGCAAUUAGCGCCUACAUUGUUGCAAAUGAACUUCAAAAGGACCUUGAGCCCACUCCUGAGGAGUUAGUGACUGAAUUAUGCAAGAUUUUGGACAAUAUUGAUAAGGAAGUGGCUGAGUCAACAUUUAAUGAAAAACAAUAUGGAAAAUGGGUCAUUGAUGAUUUUCCGUCAGAUCCAGUAUUUUGGGGACUUUUAAUAGAUUCCGGCUUCAUGCCUGAUUAUACAAUAGCGUUAAUAGAAAACAGAGAAAUACAGGCAGAGCUUAUGAAAGAAUAUAAAAAUAUUGAAAAUAGCGUUAAACAUUACCAAGAGAGAUUUGUUUUAGCCGAUGAUCCAUUAAUCAAGAUUAAACUAAAAGAAAAACAACCCACUCCACUCUCUCCACAUUCAGUAAUAAAAUUUAUUAUUCUUGAUCACCAGGCCCAAGUUUUGGAUGGUAUCUUUAGUGAUAGCCCAGAAAAUGCUGCUGAUGUUUCCGACUUAACAGAUGAUAUAAAGACAUUUACUGAAGCAAUUGAUACAUUUCGAGAAAACUGGACGGAAAUUCAAUCUAAAAUUGAAGGAGCUAACAAAUGCCACAUCGUGGCGGAGCUCGAGAAUAAAACUGAUGUUGCUAUUACAGAAGAAGUGUUAUUAAAGUUACGUCAAUGCUAUUAUUUGCCGUGUAUUCCUGGCGAACCAGAGGAUAUAGAAAAUCUCGGCGAAGAAGUGGAUCAACCAAAAGAUACAAGUACCUUUAAUUUACCUUAUUUUUUGUGUGAAACGAAUGUUUAUUGCCCCAUUGCGUAUUAUGAUUAUGGCGUAUUAUGGGAAGGAAAACCUGAAUACUCUAUCAAAUACAACAACAAACUCCAUCUGUUCUCGAAUGAAAAUUGUUUAAAUAACAUAUUUUCAAAAGAUGUUACUAAGUAUCAGUCAUACAAUAAGCCGUUUAAACAAAUUCCUUGUUUGAGAAUUUGUGUAAUGGGUUGUAUUGGCAGUGGGAAGACUACAAUAGCAAAAUACAUAGCCAAAGAACUUGGUUUAAUUCAUGUCGAUUUUGUUGAACUUAUGAAUGACUAUUUAUUGCCGCGACAUUUCAAGAAAAUUGGUCGCAAGUAUGAAAAUAGCUUCACUGAUACAUCAACUGCAGAUGAAAAUGCUGUAGAAAUACAAAUGGGCGAAGAAAACUUAGAAAACCUUGAAGCUGAUCUAAUGGCAAAAGAGACUGAGCUUAGACGCAUGUUAAAUAAUUAUUUUGAGCAAGGAACACCACUUCUGUCGAUUUUGUUGCAAAAAAUAUUAAAGAGAAUAUGGUUUGAAAAACCAUUUUGCUCCACAGGUAUUGUAGUAGAUGGGUUUCCACGAAUGGCAUCUGAUGUUGAGGAUAUGGUAGCUUGCUACUGCAUUCCAGAUCUUAUUAUUGAUGUAAGUACUAGUUCAGACGAUGUACAAGAACGGACAGCGCCUAAUAUGUACAAAACGUGGAAAGCUCAAAUUACUGAAGCAAAAUAUUUAGCUAAACUGAAAUUUGACAAAGAAAAAAGUGAAUGGUUCUCAUCUGUAACUCAGAAAGUCGUUUGUAAAUUAAUUUUAGAUGAGAUUGUAAACGCUGCUGUAGUAGAAGAUGAACCUAUUAAACCCCCGUCAACAGAAAGUAUUAAAAUAGAAGCUGGUACACAGGAAUCUGAAUUAAUGAAGUACUAUAACGAGAUAGUCGAAAAAUUUCCAGAGCCAGUCGAUUUAAGCACUUGGGAAAAUGCUAGCGAUGCUCGCGAUAGAAUCGAAGCCAGAAUAGACAGCAUUUAUGAGAUUGAAGAAGGAAACAUUGAUAAUCUAAGAGACCCUGCAGAAGAACAAAAAAUUAAGAUAGUGCCUAUUAAUAAUACAAAGUCAUUAAAUAAAACUUUGAGAAAAGUUUCAGCCCAGCUUAAAACCAUAAGGAAUAGAUCCGAAUCCUUUUUUGAGCAAACAUUUAUACUUGAUCCAGAUGUAGCAGGCAGACUUCUGUUAGAAGGCUUUUACUUUAUUAGCAGGUUUAAUAGAAUGUGUCCAGUACAUAUUUUUGAAAACCCCAACACCAUAAUGAAUCCCUAUAAAGUAAUGAAAACUAAAGGUACGGUUUACACUGUUGCCCACCGUUCUUACAUUUAUUUCAUCAGUGGUAUAACAAACUUGAAGAAGUUCAGACUUAAUCCACUGAAAUAUAUUGUAAACAAUAAUAUAACAAAUUUUAUUCAAUACCCUUUAAGGUUCAGCGUAAUUGGACCGCCAAAGUGUGGAAAAAGUGAAUUAGCAAUGAAAUUGGCAAAAAAAUAUGGUUUGAUUUGUAUUUCAAAAGGUAAAGCUAUUCGACAUGUAUUAAAUAAUAUGCACUGGACAGAAUUAGCAGAACAAAUGCAGAUGCAAUUAGGAGAAGGAAAAUGUAUUGAAACAGGCCUCAUAAUCAAAGCUGUUCAGAUUGUUGCUACCGAUCACCGCACAGUUACGAACGGUUGUGUCUUUGAUGGCUUUCCUGAUAGUGCAGCUGAAGCAAUGGAAUUGUUAAGUAUCGGGCUUUAUCCUCUCACAAUAUUCGAUCUUUCUAGUGACAAAAUGACGAUCCUAGACAAUUCACAGAAUGAGAUAUAUUUAGAUAUCAUUAAGUAUAAACCGCCGUAUUCACGAUCUUUUAUUGAAAACAGGUUUAUAAGCUGGGCUAAAAACUGUAUGAGUGUAAGGGAUUUUGUGAAGGAAGACAUUCAAAACCUUUGUCUUUUAAACGGGAACGAAUCCAGAUGGCAGUGUUUAAAAGAUGCCGUUCUGAGGAUUGAAUCAACAGCUCUAGAGAUUUGUCAUUACUUGCACAAAGCUCACUCAAAUGUUGUACCUGCCGGCGUCAUGUGUGUUUCGAACGAAGCAUUCAAACAAAGAAUGUCUUGUUAUAAAAACCUGUGUCCCGUUUGUCUCUCCAAAAAUACUCUGAGACACAACGAAUUCCCUGUUGAUAAAAAAGGUGUACUGCAGUAUAAAUACAUGUAUUAUUGGGUUUGCGAAGAGCACUUGAGGUUGGUUCUUAAUAAUCCCGACCAUUACUUAGCUCAUAGAAAGAUAGAUAUUCCAGAAAUCCCGACAGUUGUCAAAAGAAUCAACCCUUCACUUGUUUACGAAAAUGGCAUUUGUAUCGUAUCCUAUGCCGAAAACUUACCAGCACAAAAGAUAGAAAGAGGGAAUAAUAAGUUUGCAGCUAACUACCACAGAAAUACAUAUUUGUUUUGUUCUGCCCUUUGCCUAAAAAAGUUUUUGGCUAAACCUCAAUUGUAUUAUAAUGUAGUUGUUUUUAAAGAUGCAAAGAUGUUUCCAAAGCUAUCUCUUAAGAACUUACCGCAUAUUGGUUACUUGGAACAAACUGUAGGAGACAUAAUUACCGAAGCUUGUUGUUCAGUAAAUGUGCUGAGACCUAAGUACCCUGGCUUGGAUAUACAGCUUUCGGGUCUGCUCUAUAUAGCGCUUUAUCUAAAAACGCAUCACACUCAUACGGAUAAGAGUUUCCUGCCAAAGUAUUUGAGAGCUCUUGAAGUAUUUGAAGCUAGGUGCAAAUUAAUGAUAAAUGUCGGCUUACGCUUGAGAGCCAUGGACAAUCCGUUUUCCAAAUAUCCUAUAUGUCACCAUCGUUCAAAGAGGAUGGUGUCUAAUUCUGAGUUAAAGUCUGUAGCUUCCAGUAGCAGUGGAGAUUCGUUCGUCUCUUAUCGUCUAUGAUUCGACCUAAUAUCUUCACCUUUCCUUAGUUUAUACCUAGAUAUUUAGCUACUUAGACCAUUAUUUUUUGCUACAGGUGUCAUACUAGUUACCCAAGUUGAAGUUGUGUUGAUAUUUUCGUUUAAUGUUAAAGAAAAACUAUUUAAUUGUUUUUGUUAUUUUGUGUUGAUCUAAUAUUUAAAGAUAAUUAUCCCGUGGUUUUAUUUCUGGACGUUUGUGAACAAUCUCAUCACUGCAAGCAGGGUACCGGUGCCGGAUGAGCGAUAUGACUUCCUCUGCGAAUAUCAC
This is an RNA transcript of Cydia fagiglandana, 6558 nucleotides long. It is a transcript of the gene named obg-like ATPase 1, with no coding region annotated. The record is from RefSeq and is a predicted model, not a curated record. The transcript has 2 exons. Lineage: Eukaryota; Metazoa; Arthropoda; Insecta; Lepidoptera; Tortricidae.